UACGUAGGGCGCAAGCGUUGUCCGGAAUUAUUGGGCGUAAAGAGCUCGUAGGCGGUUUGUCGCGUCUGCUGUGAAAACCUAAGGCUCAACCUUGGGCUUGCAGUGGGUACGGGCAGACUAGAGUGCGGUAGGGGUGACUGGAAUUCCUGGUGUAGCGGUGGAAUGCGCAGAUAUCAGGAGGAACACCGAUGGCGAAGGCAGGUCACUGGGCCGCAACUGACGCUCGAGGCGCGAUAGCGUGGGGAUCAAACAGGG
Molecule: ribosomal RNA, 255 nt
Filed under: uncultured bacterium
Lineage: Bacteria
Description: partial 16S ribosomal RNA
Rfam family: Bacterial small subunit ribosomal RNA
Source: RNAcentral